AGGAAAAGAAACUAACAAGGAUUCCCCUAGUAACGGCGAGUGAAGCGGGAUGAGCUCAAAUUUGUAAUCUGGUGGACUCAGUUCAUCCGAGUUGUAAUCUAUAGAAAAGUUUUCCGCGUCGGACCGUGUCUAAGUCCCUUGGAACAGGGUGUCAGAGAGGGUGAGAAUCCCGUGCUUGAUACGACCACCGAUGCUAUGUGAUACUUUUUCAACGAGUCGAGUUGUUUGGGAAUGCAGCUCAAAAUGGGUGGUAAAUUCCAUCUAAAGCUAAAUAUUGGCGAGAGACCGAUAGCGAACAAGUACCGUGAGGGAAAGAUGAAAAGCACUUUGGAAAGAGAGUUAAACAGUACGUGAAAUUGUUAAAAGGGAAACGAUUGAAGUCAGUCGUGCUCUCUGGGACUCAGCCGGUUCUUCCGGUGUACUUCCCAGUGAGCGGGUCAACAUCAGUUUAGAUCGCUGGAUAAAGGUAUUAGGAAGGUAGCUCCCUCGGGAGUGUUAUAGCCUAGUAUCGCAUACAGUGGUUUAGACUGAGGAACGCAGCUCGCCUUUAUGGCCGGGGUUCGCCCACGUCCGAGCUUAGGAUGUUGACAUAAUGGCUUUAAACGACCC
RNAcentral lists this ribosomal RNA (609 nucleotides) under Holtermanniella sp. RNAcentral describes it as "eukaryotic LSU rRNA". It matches the Rfam family "Eukaryotic large subunit ribosomal RNA", at positions 54 to 650 of the family's 3401-position model. Lineage: Eukaryota; Fungi; Basidiomycota; Tremellomycetes; Holtermanniales. The record is from RNAcentral.